AACGCGAAGAACCUUACCUGGGCUCGAACGACUGGUAGUAGUCCGUAUGAAAGUAUGGGCGACCCGCAAGGGAGCCAGCCGAGGUGCUGCAUGGUUGUCGUCAGCUCGUGUCGUGAGAUGUUGGGUUAAGUCCCGCAACGAGCGCAACCCCUAUCCUGUGUUGCUACCCGCAAGGGAGGACUCUCAGGAGACUGCCGCGGAUGACGUGGAGGAAGGCGGGGCCGACGUCAAAUCAUCAUGGCCUUUAUGUCCAGGGCCACACACGUGCUACAAUGGCGUAUACAGAGGGAUGCAAGACCGCAAGGUGGAGCUAAUCCCUAAAGUACGCCUCAGUUCAGAUUGUGGGCUGAAAUUCGCCCACAUGAAGGCGGAAUCGCUAGUAAUCGCAGAUCAGCAGGCUGCGGUGAAUACGUUCCCGGGCCUUGUACACACCGGAGUGC
This 440-nucleotide ribosomal RNA is filed under the name uncultured bacterium. RNAcentral describes it as "bacterial SSU rRNA". It matches the Rfam family "Bacterial small subunit ribosomal RNA", at positions 958 to 1398 of the family's 1533-position model. The record is from RNAcentral.